Long non-coding RNA from Gasterosteus aculeatus aculeatus (three-spined stickleback), 1084 nucleotides. The record is from Ensembl. NCBI's taxonomy places the organism in Eukaryota, Metazoa, Chordata, Actinopteri, Perciformes, Gasterosteidae.
CUCAAAGGAGCAGUAUAGAGGACACAGUGCAUGUGGUUCAUUGUUAUAUAUUGUUAUAUACCCAAAAUGAAGACUGACAGCAACAAAAUGCAGAGUAUAAUAAAGCGUUUAGUAGUCGAGUAAAGAGAAGGAAGAGUCAAAGCGUUUUGAAUGUUGGGAUUUCCUGGAUUUACCUCCAUUGGAUGGACUGAACCACAACAACAGCGAGUCAUCAGAGAGGUGGGCCUCCGAGUGUGCUUUGACCCUGAGGGCCGAAUGCGGGUCCCAUUAUACAAGUCAGAGGUCAGCUCGCUGCUCGAGGCUAGUUGGCCUCGGUGGUGCUUAGAUAUGCAUAUCCCAUGAAUCACGGCUAAUCAGGGUAAUUAUGCGUGAAUUUUGACAUGUGUGGCCAUCAAAGGGAUUAGCAUUUCUACGUGUUUUUUGUUUUAACUGGUGUUUGAGCCCCGUGCUUACUUAUUAAACUGCAGUGUGAUGAAAUAGUAAAAAAAAACAAAAUGCCAUUUAUCUUAACACGGGCCUCUAUUAUUAUCAACAGUAGGAGGAAACACAUGAUAAUUUGUUUCUGCCCGAAAACAGAUGACAAACACACUCAAUACACAUUCAAGGCACGUUUUCAUGCGGUGUCUCUGCCUCUCAUCGGGGACAUAAUCAGAACCAGAUGGUGUCAGUCUCUAACCUUUGACGACCUCUUUUCUCCAUGAACACAAGAAGGAGCGAUAAGGUCCGGGGAGUUGCUCCCCAGUCGGCUGGGGGAGGAAAAACUCAGAAGGAGGUCAUACAGUACGACGGGCCAGAUGAGGCCGUGAAAUCCCUGUGGUCUGUUAAUCAACACGGGGGGAAACAAAAGGCGAUGCAUCAUGGAUGACGGUCUUGGGAGAUAACCACAGUCUGCAACACUGCAGCGGGUUUGACAACGUGAUAACAUGAGAUCUCAAUAAACAUUUUGGAAAGGCUGGUUUAUCGUCACAGUACAGUCUGUGUAUUCGUUUUGGAUGUUUUCACAUCACGAAUGUGUGUCCUCUCUUCAACGGUAUUCAAGGAUAAUGUUGACAUUAUUAUUUUGUAGGUCAGGAAAUAGAAAUGC